GUCGAGCGCACCCUUCGGGGCGAGCGGCGGACGGGUUAGUAACGCGUGGGAACAUACCCUUUGGUACGGAAUAGCCUCGGGAAACUGAGAGUAAUACCGUAUGAGCCCUUCGGGGGAAAGAUUUAUUGCCAAAGGAUUGGCCCGCGUAAGAUUAGAUAGUUGGUGGGGUAAUGGCCUACCAAGUCUACGAUCUUUAGCUGGUUUUAGAGGAUGAUCAGCAACACUGGGACUGAGACACGGCCCAGACUCCUACGGGAGGCAGCAGUGGGGAAUCUUAGACAAUGGGCGCAAGCCUGAUCUAGCCAUGCCGCGUGUGUGAUGAAGGCCUUAGGGUCGUAAAGCACUUUCGCCAGGGAUGAUAAUGACAGUACCUGGUAAAGAAACCCCGGCUAACUCCGUGCCAGCAGCCGCGGUAAUACGGAGGGGGUUAGCGUUGUUCGGAAUUACUGGGCGUAAAGCGUACGUAGGCGGAUCAGAAAGUAAGGGGUGAAAUCCCAGGGCUCAACCCUGGAACUGCCUCUUAAACUCCUGGUCUUGAGUUCGAGAGAGGUGAGUGGAAUUCCAAGUGUAGAGGUGAAAUUCGUAGAUAUUUGGAGGAACACCAGUGGCGAAGGCGGCUCACUG
Molecule: ribosomal RNA, 624 nt
Filed under: uncultured bacterium
Lineage: Bacteria
Description: bacterial SSU rRNA
Rfam family: Bacterial small subunit ribosomal RNA
Source: RNAcentral